AGUUGUUGACUUUUUUGUCAACGGAUUGACUAUAGUCAACCAUUAUCCAUGAGUUAUCACUAAGCUUGUGCUCAUUUCACGGUUCAACAUGCAGAGUCAUUCCAUCUUUUGUUGCUAACUUUUGGACCUAACUUGUUUUCAUUCCCUGUUUUCAUAUUCUGUUUCAUUAAACCAGUCAAUUGCGAACUAUUCUCUUUUUAAAUUAUUUUAAAUUGUAUCCUAAAUUAAUACUAGGGAACGAUUUGUAACAUGAUUG
RNAcentral lists this long non-coding RNA (256 nucleotides) under Lathyrus oleraceus (garden pea). Its description in RNAcentral is "Pisum sativum (pea) long non-coding RNA (PSAT_LNC008144)". Lineage: Eukaryota; Viridiplantae; Streptophyta; Magnoliopsida; Fabales; Fabaceae. The record is from RNAcentral.